This 346-nucleotide ribosomal RNA is filed under the name uncultured bacterium. Its description in RNAcentral is "partial 16S ribosomal RNA". It matches the Rfam family "Bacterial small subunit ribosomal RNA", at positions 338 to 682 of the family's 1533-position model. The record is from RNAcentral.
CCUACGGGUGGCAGCAGGGAGGAAUAGUGGGCAAUGGGCGCGAGCCUGAACCAGCCAAGUCGCGGGAGGGAAGACGGUCCUAUGGAUGGUAAACCUCGUUUGUCGGGGAGCAAAAGACGGCACGCGAGGCGUUCCGAGAGUACCCGAAGAAAAAGCAUCGGCUAACUCCGUGCCAGCAGCCGCGGUACUACGGAGGAUGCGAGCGUUAGCCGGAUUUAUUGGGUUUAAAGGGUGCGCAGGCGGAAGAUCAAGUCAGCGGUAAAAUUGAGAGACUCACCCUCUUCGAGCCGUUGAAACUGGUUUUCUUGAGUGGGCGAGACGUCUGCGGAAUGCGUGUUGUAGCGGU